GUUUGAUCCUGGCUCAGAAUGAACGUUGGCGGCGUGGAUUAGGCAUGCAAGUCGAGCGCGAUAUGUAGCAAUACAUGGAGAGCGGCGAAAGGGAGAGUAAUACGUAGGUAUCUACCCUCGGGUCUGGGAUAGCAGCGGGAAACUGCUGGUAAUACCAGAUAACGUCUCCGGACCAAAGGUGUGAUUCCACCUGAGGAGGAGCCUACGGCCUAUUAGCUAGUUGGUAGGGUAACGGCCUACCAAGGCAAAGAUGGGUAUGGGGUGUGAGAGCAUGCCCCCACUCACUGGGACUGAGACACUGCCCAGACACCUACGGGUGGCUGCAGUCGAGAAUCUUCGGCAAUGGGCGAAAGCCUGACCGAGCAA
This 366-nucleotide unclassified non-coding RNA is filed under the name Hevea brasiliensis (rubber tree). It matches the Rfam family "Bacterial small subunit ribosomal RNA", at positions 11 to 394 of the family's 1533-position model. The record is from RNAcentral. Lineage: Eukaryota; Viridiplantae; Streptophyta; Magnoliopsida; Malpighiales; Euphorbiaceae.